Molecule: ribosomal RNA, 1255 nt
Filed under: Enterobacter sp. CZS-1,2B
Lineage: Bacteria; Pseudomonadati; Pseudomonadota; Gammaproteobacteria; Enterobacterales; Enterobacteriaceae
Description: partial 16S ribosomal RNA
Rfam family: Bacterial small subunit ribosomal RNA
Source: RNAcentral
UGGAAUACAACAAGGGCAAACCAUGACAAGUCGAACGGUAACAGGAAGCAGCUUGCUGCUUCGCUGACGAGUGGCGGACGGGUGAGUAAUGUCUGGGAAACUGCCUGAUGGAGGGGGAUAACUACUGGAAACGGUAGCUAAUACCGCAUAACGUCGCAGACCAAAGAGGGGGACCUUCGGGCCUCUUGCCAUCGGAUGUGCCCAGAUGGGAUUAGCUAGUAGGUGGGGUAACGGCUCACCUAGGCGACGAUCCCUAGCUGGUCUGAGAGGAUGACCAGCCACACUGGAACUGAGACACGGUCCACACUCCUACGGGAGGCAGCAGUGGGGAAUAUUGCACAAUGGGCGCAAGCCUGAUGCAGCCAUGCCGCGUGUAUGAAGAAGGCCUUCGGGUUGUAAAGUACUUUCAGCGGGGAGGAAGGCGAUGAGGUUAAUAACCUUGUCGAUUGACGUUACCCGCAAAAGAAGCACCGGCUAACUCCGUGCCAGCAGCCGCGGUAAUACGGAGGGUGCAAGCGUUAAUCGGAAUUACUGGGCGUAAAGCGCACGCAGGCGGUCUGUCAAGUCGGAUGUGAAAUCCCCGGGCUCAACCUGGGAACUGCAUUCGAAACUGGCAGGCUAGAGUCUUGUAGAGGGGGGUAGAAUUCCGGUGUAGCGGUGAAAUGCGUAGAGAUCUGGAGGAAUACCGGUGGCGAAGGCGGCCCCCUGGACAAAGACUGACGCUCAUGUGCGAAAGCGUGGGGGAGCAAACAGAGAUUAGAUACCCUGGUAGUCCACGCCGUACACGAUGUCCACUUGGAGGUUGUGCCCUUGAGGCGUGGCUUCCAGAGCUAACGCGUUAAGUCGACCCGCCUGGGGAGUACGGCCGCAGGGUUAAAACUCAUAUGAUUUGACGGGGCGCCCGCACAAGCGGUGGAGCAUGUGGUUUUAACUCUAUGCCACCGCGAAGAACCUUACCUACUCUUGACAUCCAGAGAACUUUCCAGAGAUGCUUUUGGUGCCUUCGGGCACUCAUGAGACAGGUGCUGCAUGGCUGUCGUCACUCGUGUUGUGAAAUGUUGGGUUUAAGUCCCGGCAACGAGCAGCACCCUUCAUUCUUUGUGCAGCGGGUCCGGCCGGUACUCAGAGGACACCUGCCAGUGAAUAAACCUGGAGGAAAGGUUGAAGGGAUGACCGUCAGGUUCAUCAUCGUCUCUUACCAGUUGGUCUACACGUUCUACAAUGACCAACAGAGAUAGCGAUACUUCUAGCAAGG